AAUUGUUGUGCAAUUUUUCCAUUUCCAGCUGCCAAAACAUAAACACUUGAACAAGUUGACUUCUUCUAUCUUUCAUCACCCCUUUGUGGCAGAGAGAUAGAGGAGAUACAGAAAUAUACAUAUAUAUAUAUAGAGAGAGAGAGAUGAAAGAAUACAUAGGAAUGGUGGGAACACAGGUGGCACAAGUGUUGCUAAUGAUAUUCAGCAAGGCAGCCAUUGCAGAUGGCAUGUCAAGCUACUCCUUCAUUUUCUACUCAAAUGCACUUGCUUCCCUUAUCCUUCUUCCCCUUUCCCUCUUUUUCAACAGUUCACCAAAUAAUCCUCCACUUAGCUUUAAUGUGCUAUGUGGAUUUUUCAUUGUUGGCCUUUUUGGUUUUUUGGCACAGAUAUCUGGUUAUACUGGUGUGUCAUUAUCUUCUGCUACUCUUGGAACCACAUUGCUCAAUCUCAUACCUGGUUUUACUUUCAUACUUGCCAUCUUUUGUGGGAUGGAAGCUGCCAACAUUAAAAGCGCAACCACGCAGGCAAAAUUUAUUGGCACUGUAGUGUCAAUUGCAGGGGCCGUAAUCAUGACUCUUUACCAAGGCCCCCCAAUUCUUUCAUCUACUUUAGAAUCAGAACUCACAAAGAAUCUUCUCGUGCAACCAUCAAAUUGGGUGCUUGGAGGAAUCCUCUUAUCAGUUGACGCUCUCUUUGCUUCCAUGUAUAUCGUUUCUCAGGCAUUUGUCCUUAAGAAACACCCUUCAGUGAUCAAGCUGAUGUUCUCUUACUGCUUUGUUUGCACUAUCUUAUCAGUUAUAGCUUCUUUGGUUGUGGGAGCUGACUUGAGUGGUUUUAAUAUACAGCCUAGGAAUAGGUUGCUUUCUGUCCUCUACUCGGGGGUUUUCGGAUAUGCUUUUCAAGUAACGGUUCAAUCAUGGUGUGUACAAAAGAGAGGCCCAUUGUUUGUUGCUAUGUUUCAUCCGGUGGGAAUUGUGAUCUCGAAUUUGAUUGGAGUCGUCUUCUUAGGCGAUGGUUUCUAUCUUGGAGGUUUGUUAGGAUCAAUUAUUGUUGUUAUUGGGUUUUAUACUGUGAUGUGGGGGAAAGCCAAAGAAAAGAAGACUCUGGAAGUAAACUUGGGUGGGAGCUCAAAGAUGGGCGAUGAAGUGGCCCCUCUCUUGCAAGAUGUGGAGGAGCAGAUUACAUCUCCCUCGCCAUAAAACUAGCCCGAUGCCAGAUACGUAACCAUAUUAGUCUACAUAUACAUGGAUCAGUGGAAACACCGGAAACAAGACAAAAAGAGAUUCUAUAUAUACCUUCGGCAAAGUUAACCAAGCGAAUGGAUCCAACGCUCUUUCCGUCGCCUUCAAGAACUUGAACACUUUUGUAGAGAUCAGGGCAGACUUUAGGGAAGAUGUCGGUGGAUUCCAGGAUGGUUUUCCAAAAUUUAUCUGCACCUGACUUUACUUUCACUUCAACAUCAAGCUUACCUAUGGUUGCCAUUUUAAUAAUAUACAAGUCAAAGUCAAAAGUCAAAACAGAAUUGAAUACUUGGAAUGUGGUGGUGAUUGAAAAGUCUAGUUAUGGUAUGAAGAACAGCCAUGAUAUCUACUUGCUUUAUAUAUAGUCACAACAAUGAGGAUAAAUGCAUAGUUAAAGGAGAUGUUAGUUGGAAUUUGCAUUGACUAUGGGGAGGUCAUUUAUGGGGGCAUCUUGUACUUAUUUAUUUUUUAAGCUGUAAAAAAGUUUACGGAUGAAAUGUUGAAAAUUCCAACGUAUUUAUUA
Molecule: RNA transcript, 1764 nt
Organism: Erigeron canadensis
Lineage: Eukaryota; Viridiplantae; Streptophyta; Magnoliopsida; Asterales; Asteraceae
Gene name: WAT1-related protein At5g40230-like
Exons: 8
Source: RefSeq, a predicted model, not a curated record